RNAcentral lists this small RNA (161 nucleotides) under Tepidanaerobacter acetatoxydans Re1. RNAcentral describes it as "L10_leader". It matches the Rfam family "Ribosomal protein L10 leader". Rfam says of the family: This family is a putative r-protein leader autoregulatory structure found in B. subtilis and other low-GC Gram-positive bacteria. It is located in the 5' untranslated regions of mRNAs encoding ribosomal proteins L10 and L12 (rplJ-rplL). A Rho-independent transcription terminator structure that is probably involved in regulation is included at the 3' end. Lineage: Bacteria; Bacillati; Bacillota; Clostridia; Thermosediminibacterales; Tepidanaerobacteraceae. The record is from RNAcentral.
UUAUUGUUAUAUAUUAUGCUGCAGACCGUAGGUGCUAUAAAGCUUAAUUUCCUACCGAGGCAAAACUUUAGUAAUGAUUUCUAUUUUUAAAAAUCAUUACCAAAAACCAUGUGGUCAAAAAAGCCUUUCUGCAGAAACGGAAAGGCUUUUUUAAAUAAGAA